This 468-nucleotide ribosomal RNA is filed under the name uncultured bacterium. RNAcentral's name for it is "partial 16S ribosomal RNA". It matches the Rfam family "Bacterial small subunit ribosomal RNA", at positions 28 to 507 of the family's 1533-position model. The record is from RNAcentral.
GACGAACGCUGGCGGCGUGCUUAACACAUGCAAGUCGAACGGAAAGGCCCUGCUUUUGUGGGGUGCUCGAGUGGCGAACGGGUGAGUAACACGUGAGUAACCUGCCCUUGACUUUGGGAUAACUUCAGGAAACUGGGGCUAAUACCGGAUAGGAGCUCCUGCUGCAUGGUGUGUGUUGGAAAGUUUCGGCGGUUGGGGAUGGACUCGCGGCUUAUCAGCUUGUUGGUGGGGUAGUGGCUUACCAAGGCUUUGACGGGUAGCCGGCAUGAGAGGGUGACCGGCGACAUUGGGACUGAGAUACGGCCCAGACUCCUACGGGAGGCAGCAGUGGGGAAUAUUGCACAAUGGGCGGAAGCAUGAUGCAGCAACGCCGCGUGCGGGAUGACGGCCUUCGGGUUGUAAACCGAUUUCGCAUGUGACGAAGCGUGAGUGACGGUAAUGGGUAAAGAAGCACCGGCUAACUACGUG